GGAAAACUCAGCCAAAGCUAGCAAGUGUCAAGUGAAUCCACAACAUCACUACAAACGUCUUUUCAAGCCAGAGUGGAGAGGAGGAAGACUGGAUAGGAAGAAGAGUGAAAGAGAUAGAGGAGGAAAGGCACUGUGGAGUGGUAAAGUGGAUGACCCUGCUCCUGAUGACCUGACCUCCCAGGCAGUGGACAAGCUCAACAAAAAACUCCACAACGACCAGGGGAUCGAUCUGAGCUCACUGUGGACGAUGGACUCACCCUGGCCAUCAAACGCUAAUCAAAUCAAAUCAAAUGUUAUUGGUCACAUACACAUGGUUAGCAGAUGUUUCAUGGGAGUGUAGCUAAAUGCUUGUGCUUCUGGUUCUGACAGUGCAGUAAUAUCUAACAAGUAAUCUAACAA
Oncorhynchus tshawytscha (Chinook salmon) is the source of this 399-nucleotide long non-coding RNA. RefSeq lists it as uncharacterized. The record is from RefSeq and is a predicted model, not a curated record. Lineage: Eukaryota; Metazoa; Chordata; Actinopteri; Salmoniformes; Salmonidae. The transcript is spliced from 3 exons.